AUACUGGGGGGGCAAGCGUUGUUCGGAUUUACUGGGCGUAAAGAGCUCGUAGGCGGCUUGUUUAGUCGGACGUGAAAUCCCUCGGCUCAACUGAGGAACUGCGUCCGAUACUGGCAGGCUUGAAUCCGGGAGAGGGAUGCGGAAUUCCAGGUGUAGCGGUGAAAUGCGUAGAUAUCUGGAGGAACACCGGUGGCGAAGGCGGCAUCCUGGACCGGUAUUGACGCUGAGGAGCGAAAGCCAGGGUAGCAAACGGGAUUAGAAACCCCAGUAGUCC
This 274-nucleotide ribosomal RNA is filed under the name uncultured bacterium. RNAcentral describes it as "partial 16S ribosomal RNA". It matches the Rfam family "Bacterial small subunit ribosomal RNA", at positions 523 to 796 of the family's 1533-position model. The record is from RNAcentral.